UGCAUGCGUAGUUGGAGGUGUUGGUGUAGAAAGAUUCUAUGACAGAACACAAAGUCAUGUCGAGUACUUACUGAGUUACUGGUGUUUAUGCUGUGUUGUGUUUUGUUGGCUUAAAUCAGCGAUCACCAGUCUCUGUUCUUGUUCUCAUAUGAACAAGCAAGAAGAUAACUGUUUCUUGAAUCGACUUGCUUCAGAUACAAUUCAAAUCAGUGAGAUUAUAUAUCUGAUGAAGUGAGUGAUUAUAUCUGAUUCAUUUCUUGUAUUGCCAGGCGUGAGAGUUAGAAGAAAAUAAUGGGUUCAGAAAUCAGACAGAACAGAGCACGUCUAAUGAAUUUUUCUUUUUUGGAGAAUUGCAGACAAAGCAAAGUAAAAUUUCUGUGAUUGAUGUGAUCAUAUAUCUCCCUCAUCCCUCCCACUCUGUUUUCUUGGUAAUUAUUCAUCUCCAAGCUCUCCAUACAGGUUUUUCUUAUCAUGUUUCCAAAUCACAACAUGUUUUUUUGCCUUUCAAAUGACCAAUUUCUUUCUUUUUUAGAUGGAGGGAUUGACAGAUUAUUAAAGACUUUUAAGUGGAUUAGAGUUUGAAUUUCAAAGAAUAUAUGCAAAUACUUUUCUCUCUUGUGUCUGAAAAGUGAUGGCCAGCUAGAGCCCGCACUGCGCAAAAGAGAAUGCAAUUGGAAUUAUCUCUGGUUUCAGUGCUACACAGGUUGUGGAAAAAAUGGAAGGUCUUUUUUAGCACUCAAAGAGUCUAAGGUUUCAAGUCCUAAAUUUCAUGGAAGUCUUUCCACAAAUAUUAGAGACUUUAGAAUCUGUUAUUGUCUCACUAAAUCUGAACCAAAUUAAAGGUAGAAUUGCUUUAAUCACGCAGUUGGAAGUUUCAUAUGAUGAAAAAAAAUCAACAUCUGUCCAGAUUUUUCUUCAUAUAAACAACCUUGACAUCAAAUAGAUGAUAAAAGUUAGGAAAAAUGCUGUUUCAGCCCAUGAUUUAUGCUCUUGGAACUAUUAACUUGCUUAAGAGCC
Molecule: long non-coding RNA, 1017 nt
Filed under: Zostera marina
Lineage: Eukaryota; Viridiplantae; Streptophyta; Magnoliopsida; Alismatales; Zosteraceae
Description: long non-coding RNA (ZMAR_LNC002683)
Source: RNAcentral